CCUUCCCGAGAGGGGAGCUGCUCUUUGGGGAGGCGGAAAUAAUGAGGUGAGAAGAGUCUCCAACCUGGCUCAAGGACGUGACGUUUUCCUCCUUACCUUGAGCUGGCCAGCCAGACCUCCAAAUCGGACCCAAGACUGCUGGGUCACAGUUUGACAUACUGACUGAAGUUACACAAGGGAAACAACCUCCAGGAGAUGAGGACUGCGGGACAAUGGGAUAGGAAGCAAAAGGAACCCUUGAGUGGUUUCCCCACCCCCGUCCCCACCCCACCCGCAC
Long non-coding RNA from Neomonachus schauinslandi (Hawaiian monk seal), 277 nucleotides. RefSeq lists it as uncharacterized. Lineage: Eukaryota; Metazoa; Chordata; Mammalia; Carnivora; Phocidae. The transcript has 3 exons. The record is from RefSeq and is a predicted model, not a curated record.